This is a non-coding RNA of Infundibulicybe gibba, 88 nucleotides long. NCBI's taxonomy places the organism in Eukaryota, Fungi, Basidiomycota, Agaricomycetes, Agaricales, Omphalinaceae. The record is from the annotation of a GenBank genome assembly.
GGGCACAUGGUGUAGUUGGUUAUCACGCCCGCUUAGCACCCAUAAGGAGGCAUGCGGGCGGUCCCCGGUUCAAUUCCGGGUGCGUCCA